AUUUCAGGAAUUGGAGAUGCCCCUGUGGCUGAGGAGGAGCUGGGGCUGGGGCCGGGGCCAGGGCCGGGGCUCUGACCUGCCACUCUGCCCCACAUUAAGGGCAGAGACCGAAGAGGUGGCUGCCUGGACCUUGGAGCCCCAGGGUGGGCGGCCACCUUGGCCAGGACUCGGGCGCCCCCUUACAGAAGGCUGUGCUCACCCCUUCUUUUCUCGCCCCUGCUCUGUGCUGCAUUUGGAAAGAACCUAAAUGUCCUCCCUCUGAAGACUGGUUAAACAUCUGGUUAUGAUCCAGUGCUGCUCAUCUGACACCUGAGGGCCGCUGGAGACCCAGGGACACUCCUGCUGCGGCUCAUGUUUGGAAGCUGUCCGGAGGCGGGACUUCCUCUUCCUCCAGGGGCCGCCGUCCGGAGGCGGGACUUCCUCUUCCUCGGGGACAACUGUCUUUUUCUCUUAAGGCCUUGGACUGCCUGGAUGAGGCUAUAAUAUGGUCAGUACUCUGCUCUACCCAAAGUCUCCUGAUUGAAAUAUUAACCUCAUCCAAGAAACACCCUCACAGCGACGUCUACACUGGUGUUUGACCAAAUAGCUGGGGACCGUGGCCUGGUCGAGCUGACACAAAAGUAACCAUCACAGCUGCUGCUAUGGUCUGAAUGUUGAUGUCACCCCCAGAUUCAUUUGUUAGAACUUAAGCCCCAAGGCGAUGGCAUCACUGGUGGGCUUUGGGAGAUGAGGAGGAUAUGAAUGGGACCAGUAGCCUCAUAAGAGUUUUGAGGGUCCUGGUUGCCCUUCCCCACCCUCCCGUCCCUGCCACUGGGUGAGGACACAGCAAGAAGCCGCCGUCCUGGGAGCAGAGAGCAGAAAGCAGCCCUCACCAGACGCUGAAUCUGCUGGGGCCUCGGUCCUGGACGUCCCAGCCUCCAGAACUGAGCGAUGAAAUUCUGGUUACAAAUUGCCCCCUCUGAGGUAUUUUGUUUUAGCAGAAGGAACAGACGAGGAUGACCACCGAGGCCCUUCUCAGGCUGCCGCGGGUCUCCAGGAUGGGGACAGUCAGCUGGGGCCAACCGAGCUGCAUGUGGUCAAGGGCCCAUGCAUGUGACCAGGGCCCGCCUCCCACGUCACCCAGUGCACCCUCAGCAUGGGACACGGACCUAGACACUGCCGGGGUCUCCGUCCUUGCAGGCACUGCCAGGCGCCCCUCCCUGGGAGAAGCUGCAGCUCUGAGGCUACGGUCUUGCAGGUCAGCCACCACCUGGCUUUGUGGUCUGUUAUGCCCGGCCUAGUGUCCAGGGUGGUGACAUUUAUUUGAACAAAGACCAGUCUCCACCACCAAAGUCAUGGCUCUGCUGUUGCUUCCAGAACCAAAGAAAGGCUGGCUUCUGGGCUGGGCGUGGUGAUUCACGCCUGUAAUCCCAGCACUUUGGGAGGCCGAGACGGGCAGAUCACGAGGCCAGGAGUUCGAGACCAUCUUGGCUAACAUGGUGAAACCCUAUCUCUACUAAAAAUACAAAAAAAAUUAGCUGGGUGUGGUGGCACGUGCCUGUAAUCUCAGCAACUCAGGAGGCUGAGGCAGGAGAAUGGCUUCAACCUCGGAGGCGGAGGUUGCAGUGAGCCAAGAUCGCACCACUGCACCCCAGCGUGGGCAACAGAGCAAGACGCUGUCUCAAAAAAAAAAAAAAAAAAAAAAAAAAAAAGUCGGCUUCUCAAGCAGGUGGAAUCAGCGCUUGAUGAGACUCUGUAAUGACUGCAUAAUGAAGGCCCUCCCGGUCCUCCCCCAGCCGGUGCUCCUGUGAAACGGAGCCUGGGAAGCUCCCUUACUGGAGAAGUCUUUCGGCCGGAGAAUCGAUUCCUGCAGCCCCUUGUUUCAAUUCCGUGAGGCUUGAAGGGAGGGGCCGGCGGGCACCUGCAGACAAAUGCAUCCCAGGUGUAAGGAGGGUGCCCGUGGUCGCCCACGUGGCCAGCACAGGGCCGAGGGGGAUGAGGGCAGGGGCUGCCGCCUGCACUCAGCUCCAGGCCUGCCUCAGGGGAGCUGCAAAGCUACUCAUUCUCAUCAGCUUCAAGCUGACAUCCUUUUUGUCUUCAGUCCAGUAUUAGCUUAAAGGGAAAAGCGUUCUUGUUUGAAAUGUUAACUGGGUGCAUUCUGCUCGUUUUAAUUGUUUCAUUUGCCUAUUACGGCAGCCACAGCAGACGUGUUCCGAUUAGCAAAGAGGAAAAUCUAUCCACUGGAUCAAACUUGUAAAUGUGCAUCUCUCGGGGACUCUGUCCACAUCAGGCCUGUCCCUGGGGUCAUGGGGUGUGGGGAGGGGAGGCGAGGGGCCAGUGCUGGCCAGGUGGGACGAAGGCCACUGGGUCCGUUCCAGUCAUUGACUGCUCUCUUCUCUCCUCGUCCCUCUCACUCAGGCCAGGUCCUGACCCCCUUCCUGCUAAGGGCGGGUGGGCUUGGCAGCCUCUGCUGGGCACAGGGUGGUGGCCACAUCUGCUGCCUAAAAGGGCUGCCCCGGAGCAUCCCUGGGGGUGCUGUAUCUGCACCUCCAGCACUGCAGGCCCCUCACAGUGUCCCAGCCCUGUUGCCGGGUGGCUGCUCCCCUGCCCUUGGGGCUAGGGCAUCCAGGUCCUUUGGGGGCUCUGCUGGCGGUGCCCAGACCUGUGGGAGCUGAGCCCCUCCUGAUCCAGCCUCCCUGCUGGGUGCCCUCCCCUGGGCCUGCAGGGCGGGAGCCCCCGGGGCUGCUUCUCCUGGGGCCUGGGCCGUUACAGGGUGAACACGAAGCGAGGGCGCACUAAACACGCUCCGUAACUACCUGGGCUUGACUCGGUCUGUCCUCCACACCGCCCUCACCCAGGCCUAACCUGUGUGUGGCACGGCGGGAGGGGCCCCCUGCUGUCUGGGUGGUUGGUGGGCCACUGCACCUGCUCCAUCCCACCCGUGGCCUGCACAGCCUGUCCCCACCCUGCAUCACUGAGGAGCCUCCUGGGGUUCUGCCGUGGUCCAUGCUGCAGACCUGCCUGGGACAGCCCCUGCCAGGCCCCCCAGGCUAUCCCUGCUGGGCACUCACUCUGGCCAACCACCAUGGCCUGCAGCCUCCCCUGCUUCUCACACUGCCUGGCGUGGGACCCUGUCUCAGAGAGGAGCUCCCCGCUGCGUCCCUCUCUGCAUCGGGACGUGCACACUCUGCACUCCCUCUCCAGAAUAUUUCUCCUUCUCCAGUGACAGCCCGCCAAGCUUGCUCUCAGCUCUUUGAGGAUCAGCUUAGAGAUGGCUUCUUCCAGGAAGUCCUCCCUGAUGCUCCAAAGUGGCUGGUUCCUUCUUUCAUGCCCAAACUGCCCCUCACAGCUGCUCACUCCAACAAAGGCACUGGCCUCUGUGAUGAACCAGGAGACUGAGAGAGCUGGGGAGAUGCUCCAGGGCCUGUCCUGGACUGUCUUGAUUCCCUGGGGCCUGGCACAUGGCCCGGGGCCUGGAACUCAGACAAGAGCUCCACAGGAGCUGAUGGCAGAAUGAAUGAAUGAAUGAAUGAGGUGCAGGCUCGGGGUCCUUGGAGCCUCCCAGAUUUCCAGGCAAGCCCAGCUGGGUCCAGUCCUGGGGCCUGCACCUUCUAGAUGGCCAGCCUGAGCUGCUGGGGGCCCAGCGACCUCAGGGGACAAGAAUGGUGGGGAGGAGGAGCCCCUGGGGAGGGGAUGCUAUUGAGCCCCAGGAGGAGGGUGAGCAGGGGUGGGGUGCGGGGGUGAGGUGGACAGGAAGCUUCAAGGAACACCCCAUGAUCUGAAGGCACCAUCUUCCUUCUCGGGACCCUGCCCCACCAGGCCUGCCGGGCCCUCAGAGGAUCACAGCACCCUCACGCUCUGGGACAGGUCCAAGCGCAGCCCGCGUGGCCCCUACAAGCCUGCUGUCAUUGGCUAAGGUGAGUUUACCUGAAGGCUCAGGGACCCUGGGGGAUGGGCUGAGGGGAGCGGCAGUGUUGCUGGGGACACAGAUCCUUGGUGCUGGGUAGACAAGGUUGCCCACCAGGGACCCUCAGGCCCACAGAAACACACUCAGGACACAUACGUGACACCCCAACAUGCACACACGCUGACACACAUGUGCACACACAUGCACGGAGAGACACAACGACACCACACAGGCACAUGCAGACACAUGUGUGCACACAUAUGCAGAUACACAGACACCCCAACACAUGCACAUAUAGACACACCCCAACACACUGACACACGUGUGCACACACAUGCACACAGACACAACACCUCAGCAUAUACACACACGCACACACAUACACAGAUACAUAGAUACCCCAACACAUGCACACAUAGACACAGACACCCCAACACAGACUGACACACACAUGCAAACAUGCAUCCCAACACACACACUGGCACAUGUGCACACAUCACACCGAUGCACAUGGACCCCCACACUCACACACACUGACACGCAUGUGCUCACACAUGCACAUAUACAUACACACUUAGCUGCCUCAGACACACACACCCAGGACCCUCAGGCAUGUGCCCCACAAUGACCUACAAACACACAAGCUCUCAAGGGUACCCCCACAUACACACCACCUCAUGGACACACAACCCACGAACACGCGCCACACCUUCCUGCUCUCCCUCACACACACAGACACACACCUCCCACCUGGGUGUCCUCCGCCUGCACUUGCCUGGCAGCCUGCUGUGGUUUCCCUGGAAACACUGUCACCAUGGUGGCUUUGCAGAGCCUGGGGUGCAGCUCCAGCGCAAAGCCCAACCUGGGGCACAGGCAGCCAGUGGGCAUGGACUGGAUUCAGAAGAGACGCCCAGUGGAGGGCUCAGGUGGGAGGGGGACAGGCCCUGAGAGGCACAGUGGGGGCAGGGCAGCUCACUCCCGCCAGAGUCCCUGCAGCUGGGCUGUGCCACCCCUGCCAGGUCCUGAGAUGGGAGGAAGUGCAGCCCACCCUGCCCCUGCCUGCCCAGGUCAGCAGUGCCCACGGGCAGAAUCCCUUCCUGAGCCCCCUGCUCUCCUGGAGACAGCAUGGGCCACAGGAGGAAGGAAGGAGCUGGGGAGAAGGUGGGGCCUGCAGCCUGGCUUGCCAGGGAGGAGGGGUGGAUGGGGACCAAGAGCCAGGAAUCCCGGCACAGCCGGGAGGAGCCGAUGAGCCAGGGCAAGGGGUCAACACUGGAGCCUGAUCUCCCAGGAAGGGUGCUGUUCUGGGCCCCGGCUGGGCCAGAUGAGGCACCACGUUCCCAGGCCCUGUGUUGGCAGCAGGCCUACCUCUGCCCUCCCAGGCACUCUGGGGUGUGGUCCCAGGGCCUCCCCACUUGAAUGGAGGCCAGCCAGGUCCGGCAGGUGGGAGCACCCAGGCAUGCGCUGGGUGUGCAGAGGGAGGGCCCAUGCUGCCCCACGGUUACCAAGCUGCAGGGACAGAGCACGGGGGCUGCCUCUGUGGCUCUUGGUGGGGCACGGGGCUGUGCUGGGAGGCCCAGACAUCAGGGAGGGAGGAUGGGCUUGGAAUGGGGACUAUAAAAGGUCACGGUGGGGAGGGCCGCUGACCCCUGUCCUUCUCACGGGGGGUCUCCAGCACACCCUGCUGCCACUGGCCCCUCGGCCUGGAGCCAGGCUCCAUUGUGGAGUGGGUAGUGGCCACUGUGGAAGGGUUGGGGACACUUAGAGGCUGAGCUGCUGGAUGCAGGUUGACAUUUGAAGCCUGGCCUGAUGGAGCUGGGCUUUCCCUGGAGCGCUGGACAGGCCACCCAGCCUUCUGGCUCUGCUUCCCUCCUGCAUCUCAUGCUGGGAUUGAUGGGUGGUCAGGGUGCCUGCUCUGAGCUAAGGCCUGACUGGCCCCAAAUUCUGGGACCCAUGCAGAGGGAAGGGGACAUCUGUGGUCCUUGGAGGAAGGAGUCAAAACAAUUGGGGCAGAAAAUGGGAUGAGUGGGCAAGGGCGGGAGAGCACAGCUGAGAAUGCCCGGGGAUGAGGAGUGAGCAGGGACACUGCGCAGCUGCUCUGGCCUGGACUGAAGCCCACCAGGGUACACCCUGAGGCCUGGUAGAGUGCCAGGGCCACACUGCUGAGGCUCCCUGUCCUCGAAGUCCGCUUGGAGCCCUCCUACCUCUCCAAAGGCGGCAUUCUCCCCUCCACCGAGCCCGUGUGUUCAUCCACACAGUCCCCAUUUCUCAAGGCAGGGGGCUUGCAAGACAGGAGCCAGGCCAGGUCCCGGCCACAUCUGGUCCACAUGGCUUGUUUGUGGUGUGGUGCCCGCAGCCGUUCCUCCAGAAACAUGCCUCAGCAGCCCAGCACCUUCCAGAGAGCCUUGCACACAGGCAUGCAUGAGGAAGCUGUGAGGAGUGUGAUGACAACAGCAAUAAUGACAAAGGUGAUGACAGUGGUGUGAGGUGAUAAUGAAGACGGUGGUGGUGAAGAUGAGAUGAAGAUGAUGGUGGUGAUGGUGAUGGUGACAGUGAUGACAGUGAUGGUGGUGUAAUGGUGAUGAGGUGAUGAAGGUGGAGUGAUGGUGAUGAGAUGAAGAUGAUGGGGAUAAUGGUGGUGAUGACAGUGAUAGUGAUGGUGUGAUGAUGGUGACAGUGACUGUGAUGGUGAUGAUGAUAGUGAUGACAGUGAUAGUGAUGGUGAUGAUGAUGGUGAUUGUGAUGGUGAUGGUGACAGUCACUGUGAUGGUGACAGUCACAUAGUGAUUGUGAUCUGAUGAUGAAUGUGAUGACGAUGACAUUUAUAGUGAUGGUGUGAUGAUGAUGAUGAUGGUGAUGGUCACGGUGAUAGUGAUGGUGAUGAUAGUGAUGACAGUGAUAGUGAUGGUGAUGAUGAUUGUGAUGGUGACAGUGAUAGUGAUGGUGAUGAUGAUGAUGGUGAUUGUGAUGACAGUGAGAGUGAUGGUGGUGAUGAUGGUGAUUGUGAUGUGAUGAUGAAUGUGAUGGUGAUGGUGAUGAUUGUGAUGGUGACAGUGAUGGUGAUUGUGAUCUGAUGAUGAAUGUGAUGAUGAUGACGACAGUGAUAGUGAUGGUGAUGAUGAUGGUGAUUGUGAUGUGAUGAUGAAUGUGAUGAUGAUGAUGGUGACAGUGAUGGUGAUCAUAGUGAUUGUGAUAUGAUGAUGAAUGUGAUGACGAUGACAUUUUAGUGAUGGUGUGAUGAUGAUGAUGGUGAUGGUGACAGUGAUAGUGAUGGUGAUGAUAAUGAUGACAGUGAUAGUGAUGAUGAUGAUGGUGGUGAUUGUGAUGACAGUGACAGUGAUGGUGUGAUGAUGAUGGUGAUGAUGGUGAUGGUCACAGUGAUAGUGAUGGUGAUGAUGAUAGUGAUGACAGUGAUAGUGGUGAUGAUGAUGGUGAUUGUGAUGACAGUGAUAGUGAUGGUGUGAUGAUGGUGAUAGUGAUGAUGAUGAUGAUGGGGAUCGUGGCACACCUGAGCUAACCUUUUGGGCCAGCAGCGCCCCCUGCCACUUGCUGGACACCCCAGGCGCCGGCAUGCUGGUUGCUCCCCUGCUGUCUCCCAGCUCUCAGGCAGUAACUCUCUCAGUCAUGUGAAGACAUUGAAAUGCAGCCGUCGUGCCUGGCAUGCGGUUGGGCAUUAAUUACAUCUCCUUUUGCAAAGCCUAAUCAACUUCUCCUAAUUAACCUGUUUCCUGUCAAUGUGAAAUAAUUGAAUUCACUCGGAAUUGGCUGUGCACAUAGAGCCAUCAGAAGCCUACGUGGCUAUUUGUAAUGGUGGAGAUUUUGCAAACAACAUACCUUGUUUUGAAAACACAUUUUCAAUCCCUGUGGGCAUAUGUCCCUCUGAUGCACAAGCUUUCCGUGCUUUCCUAGAGCAGGGAUGCUUCAUUCAUGGGGUCUGUGAACUUGGACGAGAAAAAGCAACAUCUCUAUUUUACUAAGCUCUGACUGAAAUCUGGCAUUUCCUUCCACGAGGAACGCCAGCCAUCCCAGGGCUUUAUCUCAAAUAGAAAACACAGGUGUGUUUGUAUCACUUUGCAGUUGUUGCAGGUUUUUCAAACUUGUCCACACUCACCUCCACCUCUAAAACUCAGGGGCUGCUGGACGCUGGGUUUUGUUAUCCAGUGCGACGUGUAAUGCAGCCACUGCCACCCUCACACAUCUGCUUUGUUGAUAUUUUGACAUCUGCUUCACUAUGGCUGUUUUCCUUGGUGGCCGUAUGUGUUUUUGUCCAAGUAAAUCAUGAAUGGUAGAGCGCAGGGAUUUCUAGGGCAGUGAAAUGAUUCCAUACGAUACUGUGAUGGUGGACACACGGCAUCGUGCAUUUGUCAAAACUGAUGGAACAGCAGCAGUGGUCCCCAACCUUUUUGGCACCAGGGACCAGGGACCAGUUUUAUGAAAGACAUUUUUCUUAUAGACCAGAGGCUGGGGGGGGCGAUGAUUGGGGAUGAAACUGGCCCACCUCAGGUCAUCAGGCAUUAGAUUCUCGUGAGGAGCUCGGAGCCUAGCUCCCUGGCAUGGGCAGUUCACAAUAGGAUUCAUGCUCGUAUGAGAAGCUAAUGCUGCCGCUGAUGUGACGGGAGGUGAUGCUCAGGUGGUAAUGCUUUGCCUGCCCACCUCUCACCUCCUGCUGUGUGGCCUGGUUCCUAACAGGCCCUGGACUGGCACCAGUGCCGAUGCAAAUGACGGGCAUAAGGGCACUGUGGGUGGGGGCUCAGGGAAUGCCCUGUGCUACCUGCUCCCUGCUCUGUAAACCAAAAACUGCUCUACAAAAUAAAGUCUAUUCACUUAAAAAAAAAACUCUUAAUUAUGAAAAAAAUUAUCCCCAUGCUGUCAAAACGCCCCCUCCCCACAGGAGCAGAUGCUCUAGGGACAGCUGGCCCAGGCUCAGGCCAGCUGAGCCCCUUGCCAGCAGGCGUGCAGCCCACGCCUGCCGGAACAGGGGAACAGCAUUGGCCUCUGUGUCCUGGAACAGGGUGGGAUGCCUGGGGCAGCACAGCCCCCAGAUCUAUGGCCAGGUACAGCCACCGGCAGUGAACACCUCCGGAGGUGGCCUGCAAGGAAGGAACGGUCACGUCGUUGAAAGUGCAAUUCAGCAUCCACACGGCACACGCACGCGCACACGUGGGUACACAGCAUCCACACGGCACACACACGCGCACGCGUGGGUACACAGCAUCCACACGGCACAAGCACGCGCACGCGUGGGUACACAGCAUCCACACGGCACACACAUGAGCACUCAUGGGCACACAGCAUCCAUAUGGCACAUGCACACACACACGGGUACACAGCAUCCACAUGGCACACGCAAGGCACACAUGGGCACACAGCAUCCACACGGCACACGCACGGGCACACAGCAUCCACACGGCACACACACGGGCACACGGCAUCCACACGGCACACGCACGUGGACACACGGGCACACGGCAUCCACAUGGCACACGCACGGGCAUGCGGCAUCCACACGGCACAUGCAAGGCACAUGGCAUCCACAUGGCACACGCACGCGCACACGGCACCCACACGGCACACGCACGGCACACGCACGCGCACGCAGGGGCACACGGCACCCACACGGCACACGCACGCGCAGGCACGGGCACACGGCAUCCACACGGCACACGCACGCACACGCAUGGGCACCCAGUCGCACAUGCGUGUCAGUAUCAGCAAGCAGCCCCACUGCAGGACAGGCCCAGUAUGCUCCUUUCCCAGUUUUGAGGAGCUGAAAUUCUUCCUUAAUCUAAAUGUUUUCCGUUCGGAACGCACACGUGUUGUGUUUUUUCCACAGUCAUUAGAUUCAGAGUAAUUAAACCAAAACGCUCAUUUCUGGAAAGAGACAAAGUAUUUUGAGUUUCUACAUCAAUAUUUAACAUCUGCCUAACAUUUUAUAUGCUGCCCUGGUGGGUAAAACGAUUUCUACUCUCCAUAAAGAUGGACUCUGCCACAAAUCCCUCAAGAAAGAAAGAUAUUUUCUUGUGAAGAGUCAGCCAUAGUGUCUGCCUUACGUAGAGCUUGACAGUUUUUUUUCUUAUUUUAAAAUCUCAGAGCCAAAUUCAGUUCGACAAUCAAGCUAAAUGAUUAGUCGGCUUUAGAGCUGAUGUGUGUGAAGUUGGAAUUUAGCACAUUAAAUAUUUCAGGGAGAAAGUGCGCAACGUGAGACAGAAAGGCAGAGGCUUCCUCUAGAACUCAGCCUGGAGUGGUUGCAGGAAAAUGCGCCAAUUAGCAGGGGCUUCGUUCUCGCCAAUGUGACAGCUCAGAACAUUUGCAAUCCAUUUUGGAGGAUGAGAAAGGAAUACUGUGCUCCCCUUCGUGCAAAAACCAAGCCAUGCAGAACAAAAUUACAGGCCAGGAGGACAUGCCAGGGCCUGUAUGGACAGUGCUGGAUGGUGCAGAACCCACGUGCUGGGUCCCUGUGUGCUCAUGCCCAUCCAGAGAUGCCCUGGGGACACAAACAGGCCCUCAAAUGCAGAGGGCCUGUCCAGGGAGCAGGUGAGAGGGAAACGCAAAGACAAGUGGUGCCUCCAGGGUGGCCCAGCUCAAGCCUGCCAGAGCACACCUGCCUCGGCACCGGGGCUUCCGGGACCCCACCACUGAAUGCCAGGCCACCCCAGGCAGGGGACAGGCUGCGAGAAUGGGCCUCAAGCCCUUGCUGAUCUCCUCGCCAGCCACAGUGGGACAAGCUCUGAUGGGGCAGCAGGGCCCUACUCACCCCAUGGGCAGCCACUGGUUAGAGAUACCCCGGCCGCCUGGGUGCCCAAGCCGAGCCUCCCCUGGGGGCCGUGUGCGUCCCAUUUGGAGUCCCCACCAUGCCCACUGUCCUCUCCACAGCUGCUCUGGUGGGUGGGGUGCUGGCCUACCAGGGUGCAGCAGGGACACCAGGAAGCUCAGCACCUCACUCAGCACCUGCUCUUCAGGCUGAAGCUGGCAGCGGGACCACCUCCACUUGCCUAGGACUGCAGAGCACAACCUGGCACCCUCCUGAAGAUGACGCACAUGAUCAUGACCCACAGGACCCAGCGGCUCCACCCCCAGGGGUGAGCCUGAAAGAAGCAAAAACACACAGCCACACACACACACACAGCCACACACACAGCCACACACACACACACAGCCACACACACACAGCCACACACACAGCCACACACACACACAGCCACACAGAGACUGCAGGAAAGCUCACAGCAGCUUUGUGCACAGCAGCCAAAAGGCAGAGACAGCUCACAUGUCCACAGACUGACAGAUGGACAAACACCAUAUGUUCACCCACAUGGGGAGCAUCAUUCAGCAUAGAAAGGAAUGGGGCACAGGCACGCGCCAACACGGGGGCAUCGUGAAAGCACUGUGCUCGGCGAAGGAAGCCACACACGACCGCCUGCCAGAACACAUGCUACACACAACGGUGUGUCACACACAACCACACAUCACACGGAACACGUUACAUGCAAUGGUGUAUCACACACAACCACGUCACACGGACCACAUGGAAUGCAUGUUACAAUCAUAAAUCACACAAACCACAUGUCACAUGGAACAUGUGUUACACACCGUAUCUUACACAUAACUGCACGUCAUACAGAAUGUGUGUUACACACAACUGUAUCUCACACACAACCGCACAUCAUACAGAACGCAUGUUACACACAAUCAUAUCUCCCACACAACCGCAUGUCACAUGGAUGAAAUGGAACGCAUGUUACACACAAUCAUAAAUCACACACAACCACAUGUCACACAGAACGCAGAACAGGGAAGUCCCCAGAGACGGAAGCAGAUGAGGGACUGCUUAGGCCUGGGGAGGAGGGUGAUGGCUAAAAGCUGUGGGGUUUCUUUCUGAGGUGAAGCGAAUGUUCUAAAAGGGCCCGUGGGGAUGUUGCCCAUCUAUAAACACGCUGAAAGCCAUGGACGUGUCCACUGGAAGGGGAGGGAUCAUAUGAUAUGUGAGCUACGUCUCAAAGAAAGCUGUUUUUUCAAAAAGACUUGUUUCCCGUCUCCCCCGAGGGCUUCCUGGACUCCUGUUGCUUGUCUCUGUCACGAAUCCUCACCCCAAAAUCAUAGGAUGAACACCCCAAAGAAAUCAUGAGAACUCUUCUCUUUGUAGCAAACCACCAAAGGAGAAAUUCAUGCUUGAAACUGUAUCCAAACGGAUCAGGGGCCCAAGGGCUGGAUGAUCUUCACCGCAGCUGGUCUCUGAAAACAUGCCUUGUGACCUGCAGUGAGGAGUCCGCAUCUGUCUGUGCCACCUGCUGAGACUGUCCUCUCUCGGGCUCCCAUGGGGGCUGCGGGCUGGAGCGGGGCCAGGAGGGAGGGGGAUGGACGGCUGGGAGGAGGACAGACACCCACACCUCGGUGACAGGUGACAGGCGUUGGCUUGGGCAGAGCCUCGGUGACCUGCCUAGGUUUUCUUCCCCAAAGCAGAUCCCAGCUGCGUCUGCACCCAGCAGGCCCCAGAGCCUUCUCCUCCGUGGGGGGGUGGGGGUAAGUCCCCUCCUGCUGGGCUGCCAGGCCUCAGGCAGCCUCGACGCAGCUCUGCACCCAGCUCCCGGCUCCCACAGAGAGCCCUGCAGCUACAGCCGGGGCGGCAGCUUCCAGUGGGCUUCCUGGACCCCUGUCUCCCAGCCACGCCGACCGCAGCCACUAUGUGGCUCCUUACAGUCCUCCCCCGGGACCCCUCAGCCCCCACUGGCCUCCGUCUCCCCAUCCUGGUGCCCCUCUGCUCUCUGUGGGUCUCCAUGGGUCACCCCACUGCCCCGUUCAUCUCUCCGUCCUGGCGCCCUCUGCCCUCCGAGGGUCACCCCCGCCGCCCUCUCAUCUCUCAGGUCUUGUCCCUGCCUGGCAGCGGGUUGAGCACUGGGCCCACUCCUGGGCCUCCCAGCUCCCUUGGGACCAUCUCUCUCACCUCUCCAGCCCCUCCAGCUGUGGACACUGACCCCUGCCUGGCUAUGGGGCUCUAGGGCAAGCCCCUCCGGCUCCAGGCCUUCAGCCCCCUCCCCCCAGCCACACCCAGGAAGGAAGGAAGCCCCCACUGCUCUGCCCCUUGGAGGGUCAGCGACGCCUGCCCGCACAGGGAAGCUCUCC
RNAcentral lists this long non-coding RNA (13003 nucleotides) under Homo sapiens (human). RNAcentral describes it as "non-protein coding lnc-STK32C-2:5". Lineage: Eukaryota; Metazoa; Chordata; Mammalia; Primates; Hominidae. The record is from RNAcentral.